Non-coding RNA from Neomonachus schauinslandi (Hawaiian monk seal), 399 nucleotides. The record is from the annotation of a RefSeq genome assembly. NCBI's taxonomy places the organism in Eukaryota, Metazoa, Chordata, Mammalia, Carnivora, Phocidae.
AUGGAGUUCUUGCUUGGCUGGAUUUUCCUUAUUGCCCUUUUAAAAGGUGUCCAGUGUGAGGUACAGCUGGUGGAGACUGGGGGAGACCUGGUGAAGCCUGGGGGGUCCCUGAGACUCUCCUGUGCAGCCUCUGGAUUCACCUUCAGUAGCUACUGGAUGAGCUGGGUCCGCCAGGCUCCAGGGAAGGGGCUACAGUGGGUUGGAGAAAUUAAAGAUGAUGGAAGUAGCACAUACUAUGCAGACUCUGUGAAGGGUCGAUUCACCAUCUCCAGAGACAAUGGCAAGAGCACGCUUUAUCUGCAGAUGAACAGCCUGAGACUUGAGGACACGGCUGUAUAUUACUGUGCAAGAGACACAGUGAGGGGACAUCACAGUGAGCCCAGACACAAACCUCACUAG